Molecule: small RNA, 272 nt
Filed under: Sinorhizobium meliloti 2011
Lineage: Bacteria; Pseudomonadati; Pseudomonadota; Alphaproteobacteria; Hyphomicrobiales; Rhizobiaceae
Description: putative ncRNA
Source: RNAcentral
UUAACAACGCGGCCGAGCAAUGGAAACGGGCGCCGCGGGAAUGGGUCGAGGCAAAGACACAGUUCGCCGUCAUCUUUGGCGAGCGGUUCUUCAACUGAUGAAACCGGCCCACCGCAUAGAAUUCCUGACAGUCCCGUGGCCGACUGCUAAAAGCUCUUCGGCAUGAUGGGAUCGGCCUGUCGCUGUAUGCGAAACGGCUCGAACGCGGGCGUUUCAUCUGGCCGGCAACGGAGGGUGGUGCGAGCGCGCUGACCGCCGGUCGGAUGUCCUGG